Molecule: long non-coding RNA, 4432 nt
Filed under: Citrus x clementina
Lineage: Eukaryota; Viridiplantae; Streptophyta; Magnoliopsida; Sapindales; Rutaceae
Description: Citrus clementina (C. clementina) long non-coding RNA (CCLE_LNC006501)
Source: RNAcentral
CCGAAAAGCAAGUAGAGUGCAGGUGGACAGCAACCAGGCGGCUAGCCGCCUGUUCCAAGCGGCUAGCCGCUUGGUCACGGGUUUGUCUAAUUUCGUUUUGCUUCUUCUUCCUCUUUCGUGAGUUUUCUGCACAUGCUUUCUCUCUCACUCAAAACCGUGAGCAACCCAUCCAUUUUCACCUCCAUUUUCUUCCUUUUUUCAUCCAUUUUCAUGCCCAAAUCAACCAUUCAAACUAAUACCCAUGCAUUUCAUCUUCAUUAAACACUUCUCCAUCAUGAUUUCUUCACUUGUUCUUCAUCAUUCCAUCCUCAUUCCAUUCCCGCAUGAAUAGUGCUCUCCAUUUUCUUUCUCAAAUUUCUUCAUCUUUCACUCAUUUUCUUGUUAAAAUCAAUCAUCCAACUCAUUAUUCAUCCAUUACUCCUUCAAUUUUCACUCUCAAAACUUGAUUUCAUCAUCUCUCCACAUAAAACCCAAAAUCAAAAAUUCUCACUCUACCCGUUUCUCUCUCUUCAUUUUUCAAGCAUCCUUUAGCUCAUUUUUAAUCAUAAACUAGCUUCAUUCAUCUCUAGGAUUGAUUCUCUUGCCUCAAACAAAUCCGUUGUACUCAAACUUUGUUAAAACCCGAAAUUGCAUUUUUAAGCUCUUUUUUCUUCCAACAAUGGCGGGUGGUGACAAAUCCAAGGGGAAACACGUGGCCAAGAAGCGUAAAGAUGAUCAUGGAGAUUAUUCGGACUUUAUGUUGAUUCAUUUUCCUCGACUCCAACUUCGGAAAUAUUUUCUCGACCAUUUCAAACCAAGGACGGUAAUUACUCCUCAUUUUGUCAAUCUCAAUAAUAUGAAGAAUUUAGAAAUUUGUGAUAAUUCUCUUAAAGAUUUACUUAUUGCUAUGGGAUGGAAGAAUGUGUUGGUCGUUAAUGAUCCUUACUAUGCAAAUUUAGUCAAGGUUUUCUAUUCGAAUAUGGAUACGGAUGUGUCAAAUAGAAUUGUUACUAAUGUUGGGAGAAUUCACAUUGAAUUUGAUGUUGCUUUGCUAAAUUCUAUCCUUGGCACUCCAAAUGAGGGAUUGGAAAUAUAUCAAACAACCUUGGUUUUCUCUUGAAAAUGCCGUUCGAAAAAUUUGUCGACGACGUGAUUUGUCCACUGCAUUCUGUAACUCACCUUUGAAAUCUCAAGCCUUACCUCUUCAAACUCGAAUCCUUCAUUAUGUUCUCCAUCAUGUGAUUACUCCUAGGGGGGGUCAUGCGGAUGAAGUUAGUCGUUUAGAUGUAGCCAUUUUGGACUGCAUUCUAGAGGAGAGGGUGCUAAAUAUUGGGUAUAUUAUUCUUAAUCAUAUGCUUAGUACUGCCAAUUUAGCCAAAAGAUCCCUUCCAUAUGCUAGUAUUAUUACUCAAAUUCUAGAGUAUUUCCAUGUCCCUAUAACCGAGUCAAUCUCCUCGAAUUCGAGGGAAUUAGGCGAUGAUUCAAUCGCUAAUCUGGGAUUUUAUUGGAGGGAUGAUAGCUGGCAUAAAGAUCAAAGAACCAAAAAGGUUACGGACCUUGCUCCUUCAGAUCAUCGUUUCUUUAACAAUGUCCGUCCCCCACACUUGCUUCGUGAUCUUAGUGCUCCAUAUCUCUCACAUCCUCCACCUUCCGAGGGUCCUUCCCACUCUACUUCAGCUGACUCUGAGGAGAGCGUCUCUUUGCUCCAGUCUAUGCUUGAAGCUUUUCAACUUCAGUCCAUUUCCGAGCGAGAGCGUCUCUUUGCUCAACAGCAGCAGCUUCUUGAUGGCCAGCAGCAACUUUUUGCAGCCCUUGGAUUUCCACCCCCAUCCUCUUCCUCACAUCCACCAUCUCCUUAGUACUUUAUUUUAUUUUGUUAUUUGUCACUCUGCACUACAUUUAUUCAUGCAUUGUUGUUUUUUCAUUUGCGGAUUAUAUCUUGUUAUUUGAUCUUCGGAAAUGUUAUAUUUGGAUGAUGUUUUAUGCUUAAUUCUUAUGUGUUGCUUGAUGACUUGGUGGAGUUGUUGGUUUGUUAUACUUAAGCUUAUAUGGAAGUGUUUUUAAUUACAUUGUGUAUUUGAGGAUUUGUUCAUUUUUAAGGGGAGACUCUGCCGAAAUUUUUGCUCGCACACAAUUGGUAAUAUCUUUCUUGAAUCAUUUUUUAUGAUCUUGUUUUCAAUUGCAUGUUUCUAUUUUUUUUAAGAGGGUAAUAAACAUGAUGAGUUUUUUAUAAUGAUAUUUUGGUUAAAUAUUUUCAGUCUUAGCAUGAAUUACUAGUAAUUUUGAUGAUGAAGGGGGAGAAGUCAUGUAUUUUGAAUAUAAAGACAUGUAAUACAUAUUUUUUGUAUUUCAAGCAUUUAUGCAUGUUUUUGAAAUAUUAAGGGGGAGCUUUCAAAUUAUCAUAAAUCAAAUAUUCAGGGGGAGUUUUUGAUUUAUAUGUUUAAUCAUGUAUGCCAUGUAUUAAGGGGGAGUUUAAUAUCAAAAUACAUGAGAUGUUUGUCAUCAUCAAAAAGGGGGAGAUUGUUAGCCUAAAGGGCUACACAUAAUGUAAUUUUGAUGAUAACAAACAUGUGUCUUAAGUAACAAUAAUAAAUAUUGUAUUUCACAUUUACACUAGUUUUUUAAGGAUAAUAUUUAUGCAAGUGAAUCAAGUGAAAUCAAGAUUGAAGACACUCAACGGACAACGGCGAAAUCAAGAAUAAAGCUUAGAGCUCAACGGACGAAUUAUUGCGACAAAUUCUUGUAAAGCCGGUAUGAUUUAAUUGAUGCAUGAUUUAGCAUUUGAGAAGCUCAAGAGAUUAAUUUAAUUAAAUACUUUUCAUAAACUAAAAUAUUUUAUUUUUAUAAAGUAAAGUAUUUUGUGGAUUUGAGUAAACUGGACUUAAAUGUUAAGAUUUGAAAUCUUUGAUUUUAAUAAGUAUCAAAUUUCGGAGUUGGAUGUUUUUACAAAUAUUUUAAAUGUUUUGGGCCAUACUAUAAUUUAUGAAUAUUUUGAACUAAAGUGAAAGGUUUUGAGAACUUUGAAAAAUAUGGGUAUUAUGUUGAAAAGGACCUUUGUGCGAAACAAUAAAAUCUUUGGGGCUAUAUCAUAAUUUUAGGAAGUUUGGGAAAGAAAAUUAUUUUUGGGAAGUUCUGAAAUUGGACAUAUUUGUAAAGUUUUCUGACGUUUUGGGCCAUAGUAUAAUUAUAGAAAGUUUUGGGCUAAAGUGUAAUUUCAAUGAACAAUGUUACUGUAGCAAAUUCAAAAAUAACGGUAAUAUUACUGUUCUUGAGCGGCUAGCCGGAUAAAUCAAGCGGCUAACCGCUUGAGCGCUGGAAUUUGCCUAUAACGGCUAGUUUUUGGCCUUCCACUAUAAAAACUCAACUCAAACUUCAUUUUAAGCACCAAUACACGCAAAUAUAAGAUCAUACAACAUAUAUUGAGCUUCCAAAACGCAAAUCAUUAUUGAUUGAAUCAUUGUUGAGCUAUUAGUUGCAUAUCAACUCUUAAAGAGAGUUUUUGUUGUAAUUUUCAUUCCUUAUCAAAUUGUGAGUGUUUAAGUGUGGGAAACACUUGGGGUGAAGAGAUUGGGGAGAUAAUCUCUUGGUUGUAAAGGUUCAUUGACACCUUGGAAGUCAAUUGUAAAAACUUGAAGCCUUGGGAGGCUUAGAUAGUGAAAUCCUCGAGCUCGGUUGGCUUGGAGGCGUGGACGUAGGCGGGGAUUGCCGAACCACGUAAAAAUCUGCGUGUUUGUUUUUCUCUUCCCUUGCUCUUUUAUUUUUACGCUUACUUGAAUUUAUUGUUCUCUAUUUCAUUAAGACGUUAGAUUGAUUUAUUGUGCGAAUCGUAUUGCAUUAAUUUUAAAAACCCAAUUCACCCCCCUCUUGGGUUGCGUUACUUGCAUUUCAGACUUUGUAUAGGUAAAGAGUGAUGUGGAGGUUCUGGAAUAUUUUGCAUAGGUUCAACAAUUAUUGGACAUGUAUGAGAAAUUGUCCUGUUAUUUAUGGUAGCUUGUUGUGAAUUCUAAUCAGUUGCUGUCUGUUCUGGAUGAUCUGAGUGACUUGAACUGCUGCUUCCAGAUCUUACAGAGUUCAGAUUACCAAUGCUGUUAUUGACAGACAAAGAAGAGAUAUGAUGGAUUUGCUGUGGUGUAAGGGAAUGAGAAGUUUGAGAACCAGCUUUAGCAUGACUAUGAAAAAUAGACUCAGUGGUAUAAGGAAAAACUGAUUCAUCAAAGGUAACAUGUCUUGCCACAUAGACUUGACCUAAGGAGUGUAAACAUUUGUAGCCCUUAUGUGAAGGACUGUAACCAAUGAAUAUGCACUUACUAGAAUGGUAGGCAAAUUUAUGUUUGUUGUAAUCUCUCAAGUAAGGAUAACAAGCACACCCAAAACAUCUGAGAAAAUCAUAAUCAGGUUUGUGUUUGAAUGUCUUUUCAUAUGGGGUUAAAAGUUGCAAAACAGGAGAUGGAAG